RNAcentral lists this long non-coding RNA (721 nucleotides) under Musa acuminata (dwarf banana). RNAcentral's name for it is "long non-coding RNA (MACU_LNC005986)". The record is from RNAcentral. Lineage: Eukaryota; Viridiplantae; Streptophyta; Magnoliopsida; Zingiberales; Musaceae.
CUUUUGGUGGUUCUGUUGAUUGUGCAGUCUCACCUGAUUCACAUUUUUCACAUUGUCACGAGAUCAGGUGCAUUCUCCUAACUGUAGCCAACAAUCAGUAAAAGAUUCUUGCCUGGGGUCCAUAUGGCCAGAAGAUAUGAAGAAGGAUCAUCUGGUUCUCUUGGAUCCAGCUGUGACACAUAUUAGGACAUGAUAUUAGUAAUGGAUGAAGUUUCAUAUAAACUGGUCUGACAAAGGAACUCACUCCGUCCAAGAGGGGGUGUGAAUCUGGAAGUUCAUAUCUGUAACAAGGAAAAAGGAUAAGUUUCACUAUUUAACUCAAGAUAGACAUCUACCAUCAGAUGAAACCAAUUUGACUAUGCCUACAAAUCACAAUUCAUCUCUAACAAGUUGGUAUCUAGCUACAAUACCAGUAAGCUUCUGGAUUAUGUACUUACACAUGAUGCUCUGUUCGUAGGCGGCUGACAUUUUUAAGCUUGGGCAUGGGAAUUGAAGCAGCCUCUGGAUUAAUAGCGACUAAAGCCUUGGACAUGUCAAUAUCUUGAAGCUCCAUGUUGUUUGCUUGCAUAUAGUUAUGUAAGUUUUGUGUGAACUCCUCAAUAUUUAAUUUAAUAGUAGGAAUUUCCUCAGGAUCUUCAUAAAAAGCAUCCUCGAUUGCUCUUUCUUCUGUUUGAAUGCUUUCAGGUUCUGGUGUUGCUGGUUCUUCAAUGAUAGGCUCACA